UACGUAGGGCGCGAGCGUUAAUCGGAAUUACUGGGCGUAAAGCGUGCGCAGGCGGUUCUAUAAGACAGAUGUGAAAUCCCCGGGCUUAACCUGGGAACUGCGUUUGUGACUGUAGGACUCGAAUGUGGCAGAGGGGUGGAAUUCCACGUGUAGCAGUGAAAUGCGUAGAGAUGUGGAGGAACACCGAUGGCGAAGGCAGCCCCCUGGGUCGACACUGACGCUCAUGCACGAAAGCGUGGGGAGCAAACAGG
Molecule: ribosomal RNA, 251 nt
Filed under: uncultured bacterium
Lineage: Bacteria
Description: partial 16S ribosomal RNA
Rfam family: Bacterial small subunit ribosomal RNA
Source: RNAcentral